CCCUUAGAUGUUCUGGGCUGCACGCGCGCUACACUGACACACGCAACGAGUCUCCUGCCCUGACAGGGUCGGGUAAUCAUUUGAGUGUGUGUCGUGAUGGGGAUAGAGUAUUGCAAUUAUUGCUCUUGAACGAGGAAUUCCUAGUAAGCACAAGUCAGCAGCUUGUGCUGAUUACGUCCCUGCCCUUUGUACACACCGCCCGUCGCUCCUACCGAGGGGGUGAUCCGGUGAAUGAUUUGGACUCUGGUGCUUCUAGCUGCUAGAUGCGCCGGAGGAAGUUUUGUGAACCUUAUCACUUGGAGGAAGGAGAAGUCGUAACA
This 320-nucleotide ribosomal RNA is filed under the name uncultured eukaryote. Its description in RNAcentral is "partial 18S ribosomal RNA". It matches the Rfam family "Eukaryotic small subunit ribosomal RNA", at positions 1470 to 1796 of the family's 1831-position model. The record is from RNAcentral.